This 497-nucleotide ribosomal RNA is filed under the name uncultured bacterium. Its description in RNAcentral is "partial 16S ribosomal RNA". It matches the Rfam family "Bacterial small subunit ribosomal RNA", at positions 28 to 507 of the family's 1533-position model. The record is from RNAcentral.
GACGAACGCUGGCGGCGUGCCUAAUACAUGCAAGUCGAGCGCCGAAGGUUGGUACUUGUACCCACUGGAUGAGCAGCGAACGGGUGAGUAACGCGUGGGGAAUCUGCCUUUGAGCGGGGGACAACAUUUGGAAACGAAUGCUAAUACCGCAUAAAAACUUUAAACACAAGUUUCAUGUUUGAAAGAUGCAAUUGCAUCACUCAAAGAUGAUCCCGCGUUGUAUUAGCUAGGUGGUGAGGUAAAGGCUCACCAAGGCGGUGAUACAUAGCCGACCUGAGAGGGACGACGGCCACAUUGGGACUGAGACACGGCCCAAACCUCUUAGGGGGGGCGCAAGAGGGAAACUUCGGCCAUGGACGAAAGGCUGACCGAACAACGCCGGGUGAGGGAAGAAGGUUUUCGGGUCGUAAAAGUCUGUUGGUAGAGAAGGAAGUUGGUGGGGGUGGAAAGCUCAUCAAGUGACGGUAACUACAGAGAAAGGGACGGCUAACUACGUG